Molecule: ribosomal RNA, 497 nt
Filed under: uncultured bacterium
Lineage: Bacteria
Description: partial 16S ribosomal RNA
Rfam family: Bacterial small subunit ribosomal RNA
Source: RNAcentral
GAUGAACGCUGGCGGCGUGCCUAAUACAUGCAAGUCGAGCGAACGGACGAGAAGCUUGCUUCUCUGAUGUUAGCGGCGGACGGGUGAGUAACACGUGGAUAACCUACCUAUAAGACUGGGAUAACUUCGGGAAACCGGAGCUAAUACCGGAUGAUAUUUUGAACCGCAUGGUUCAAAAGUGAAAGACGGUCUUGCUGUCACUUAUAGAUGUAUCCGCGCUGCAUUAGCUAGUUGGUAAGGUAACGGCUUACCAAGGCAACGAUGCAUAGCCGACCUGAGAGGGUGAUCGGCCACACUGGAACUGAGACACGGUCCAGACUCCUACGGGAGGCAGCAGUAGGGAAUCUUCCGCAAUGGGCGAAAGCCUGACGGAGCAACGCCGCGUGAGUGAUGAAGGUCUUCGGAUCGUAAAACUCUGUUAUUAGGGAAGAACAUAUGUGUAAGUAGCUGUGCACAUCUUGACGGUACCUAAUCAGAAAGCCACGGUUAACUACGUG